GAUGAACGCUGGCGGCGUGCCUAAUACAUGCAAGUCGAGCGAACAGAUGAGGAGCUUGCUCCUCUGACGUUAGCGGCGGACGGGUGAGUAACACGUGGAUAACCUACCUAUAAGACUGGGAUAACUUCGGGAAACCGGCGCUAAUACCGGAUAAUAUAUUGAACCGCAUGGUUCAAUAGUUAAAGACGGUUUUGCUGUCACUUAUAGAUGGUUCCGCGCCGCAUUAGCUAGUUGGUAAGGUAACGGCUUACCAAGGCGACGAUGCGUAGCCGACCUGAGAAGGUAAUCGGCGACACAGGAACUGAGACACGGUCCAGACUACUAAGGGAGGCAGCAGUAGGGAAUCUGCAGCAAUGGGCGAAAGCCUGACGGAGCAACGCCGCGUGAGUGAUGAAGGUCUUCGGAUCAUAAAACUCUGUUAUUAGGGAAGAACAAAUGUGUAAGUAACUAUGCACGUCUUGACGGUACCUAAUCAGAAAGCCACGGCUAACUACGUG
RNAcentral lists this ribosomal RNA (497 nucleotides) under uncultured bacterium. RNAcentral describes it as "partial 16S ribosomal RNA". It matches the Rfam family "Bacterial small subunit ribosomal RNA", at positions 28 to 507 of the family's 1533-position model. The record is from RNAcentral.